This 163-nucleotide unclassified non-coding RNA is filed under the name soil metagenome. RNAcentral's name for it is "partial internal transcribed spacer 1". The record is from RNAcentral.
GUGAAUUGAAUAUGUUAGCGGACCUCUUCGGAGUCCCUAGCAUCAAAUCAUAUCCAUAACACCUGUGAACUGUAAGGCUGUCUUGAAAACGAAAGUGAUUAGAGCGCCUGCCCAUUUUAUACAAACAUUAAAGUAACAAACGUAGUCCUAUUAUAAUCUAAUA